UACGUAGGGGGCAAGCGUUGUCCGGAAUCACUGGGCGUAAAGCGCACGUAGGCGGCUUUCUAAGUCAGGGGUGAAAUCCUGGAGCUCAACUCCAGAACUGCCUUUGAUACUGGAGAGCUAGAGUCCGGAAGAGGUGAGUGGAACUGCGAGUGUAGAGGUGAAAUUCGUAGAUAUUCGCAAGAACACCAGUGGCGAAGGCGGCUCACUGGUCCGGUACUGACGCUGAGGUGCGAAAGCGUGGGGAGCAAACAGG
Molecule: ribosomal RNA, 253 nt
Filed under: uncultured bacterium
Lineage: Bacteria
Description: partial 16S ribosomal RNA
Rfam family: Bacterial small subunit ribosomal RNA
Source: RNAcentral